UACAGAGGUCUCAAGCGUUGUUCGGAUUCAUUGGGCGUAAAGGGUGCGUAGGUGGCGAUGUAAGUCUGGUGUGAAAUCUCGGGGCUCAACCUCGAAAUUGCAUUGGAUACUGCGUUGCUUGAGGAUUGUAGAGGAGAGUGGAAUUCACGGUGUAGCAGUGAAAUGCGUAGAGAUCCGGAAGAACACCGGAGGCGAAGGCGGCUUGCUGGGCGUGAUCUGACGCUGAGGCGCGAAAGCGUGGGGAGCGAACAGG
RNAcentral lists this ribosomal RNA (253 nucleotides) under uncultured bacterium. Its description in RNAcentral is "partial 16S ribosomal RNA". It matches the Rfam family "Bacterial small subunit ribosomal RNA", at positions 524 to 776 of the family's 1533-position model. The record is from RNAcentral.